CCAGAGUCCUCUGAAACACAGGCCAUCGAUGACUUCCUCUGCCCUGGACUUGUACCCAAGCUCCUUACCAGACCCCCAGGACCUGGCUUUGCCCACCUCUCUGCUGGAACCCCUCUCUGCCCUGGGGCAUUGGCACAUGCCACCCCCACGACCUGGGCCCAUGCUUCUGGGAUAGCUAGGUCGGACCAGCCUUCAGGCCUCGUACCCAUGUCCACCUUGGCACGGCCUCCCCACUGCCCCCUCGUUAGCCUAUCUCCUUCCACACGGUAGCCGACAUGGCACUGACUCCAGCGUGCCACCACACAUCAGUCCUGCCUGGGAUCCACAAGUCUCUGCUGCUGGCCGCUGUGAAGGGACAAAAUGUCCAGCCUCAUAGCCCCUGGGUGCACCUGCUGGGAGCCUUGGCCCAAGAGCACCCCUCCCUGCCUAAGAUAAUGGGUCAGGGUCACAGCACUGGCCAUGGUAGCUUUCGUGAGGCUGCAGAAGUGACUUCGCCACCACACCCUCCCCCAGCACUUCCCCCAACCCCAGAGAGGGGAAGCGUAUGGUCCACACUUGGGCCAGCUCAGUCUCCUAUAGCCAUCACAGCUCCAACCCUCCUAUCUUCCUUCUCCCCAAAAUGUCCCCAUGAGAUAAC
RNAcentral lists this long non-coding RNA (637 nucleotides) under Pan paniscus (pygmy chimpanzee). Its description in RNAcentral is "lncRNA (ENSPPAG00000045560.1)". Lineage: Eukaryota; Metazoa; Chordata; Mammalia; Primates; Hominidae. The record is from RNAcentral.